Molecule: ribosomal RNA, 456 nt
Filed under: uncultured bacterium
Lineage: Bacteria
Description: partial 16S ribosomal RNA
Rfam family: Bacterial small subunit ribosomal RNA
Source: RNAcentral
GGUGAACGCUGGCGGCGUGCUUAAGACAUGCAAGUCGAACGGGCUCUUCGGAGCCAGUGGCGCACGGGUGAGUAACGCGUAACUGACCUACCCCAAAGUCGCGGAUAACGAUUCGAAAGAAUCGCUAAUACGUGAUGUGCUGUCAGAUCCUGUUCUGCCAGUAAAGAUUUAUUGCUUUGGGAUGGGGUUGCGUUCCAUCAGCUAGUUGGUGGGGUAAAGGCCCACUAAGGCGACGACGGAUCGCCGGCCUGAGAGGGUGGCCGGCCACAGGGGCACUGAGACACGGGUCCCACUCCUACGGGAGGCAGCAGUUAGGAAUCUUCCACAAUGGGCGAAAGCCUGAUGGAGCGACGCCGCGUGAGGGAUGAAGGUCUUCGGAUCGUAAACCUCUGAAUCAGGGACGAAAGACGCGAAAGCGGGAUGACGGUACCUGAGUAAUAGCACCGGCUAACUCCG